UAAACCAUACCUCCCAGCACGACAUCAACCCGUCUUUUGAACACCUCCAGGGAUGGUGCCUCCACCACAAAUGGAAAAAUAAAAGAGUAAAAAUAAAAGAGUAGAGAAAAAAACAAACUUUGGUCAUUAGGGAAAGUAUCUAUACUGCAUAUUCAGUACAGAUAAAUAUUUUAAAAGUGUUAUAUGUGGUUUUGGGAGAGAGGGGAGAACUGUUCGGUGUUCAAGGUCGUUUUGCUUUUGGGUUAAAUCUGUGAGUUCAGCUUACUGUUAUUGUUAGGACUAACACUGGUGUGCAUUAUCCAGCAGGUCCAAGAGGCCAGAGGCUGAGAUCUUAACCCGCAGCAUGAAGAGAAGUGCAGAGUUCCUUGGGCUGUUCUCUCCCCGUCCCCGCCAGCCCUGCGGUCUCCGUUAACGCUGUCACCUCCCGUCGCAGCACGCUGCAGCCACAACACACAAUAGAGAAGGAUGAGUGUCCAGCACAAGAGCAGCCAUGUGGUUACAGCUUCAGUCAGCAGAGGGAGUAUGGACACCUGUGUUAAAAGCCACAUUGGGUCACUGGUGACAGCCAAGAGAAUAGACUUUCUCCUAGAAUUCCGCUUUUGUCUGCAAAAAAAAAAGGAGCCUAGGAGUUAUCAGGCUGUAGCACUCUGGAUUCCUUCAAGUCUGCAGAGCAUGGAUUUAGAAAUAUCAGAAGGAAGAGCUGCAGGAUUCCAAACUGGGAAGUUCCGAAAGCAUAAAGGAGGAAUUUAGCAACAAAUUACAGUAAGAAUCGAGUCUGGCUUGACUGUAGAGUGCUAACGAUAGAGGAAGUGAGAAAAAUCUGACAAAAAUAAAAAUGUGGUUGUUAUCUUCA
Long non-coding RNA from Calidris pugnax (ruff), 853 nucleotides. RefSeq lists it as uncharacterized. The record is from RefSeq and is a predicted model, not a curated record. NCBI's taxonomy places the organism in Eukaryota, Metazoa, Chordata, Aves, Charadriiformes, Scolopacidae. The transcript has 3 exons.